AGGAAGGUAGUGUAGUUAACACCUGCAUUAUUUGACGUUACCUACAGAAGAAGCACCGGCUAACUCCGUGCCAGCAGCCGCGGAAUACGGAGGGUGCGAGCGUUAAUCGGAAUUACUGGGCGUAAAGCGCAUGCAGGCGGCCUGUUAAGUCAGAUGUGAAAGCCCCGGGGCGUUAACCUCGGAAUUGCAUUUGAAACUGGCAGGCUAGAGUCUUGUAGAGGGGGUAGGAAUUUCAGGUGUAGCGGUGAAAUGCGUAGAGAUCUGAAGGAAUACCAGUGGCGAAGGCGGCCCCCUGGACAAAGACUGACGCUCAGAUGCGAAAGCGUGGGGAGCAAACAGGAUUAGAUACCCUGGUAA
RNAcentral lists this ribosomal RNA (357 nucleotides) under uncultured bacterium. RNAcentral's name for it is "bacterial SSU rRNA". It matches the Rfam family "Bacterial small subunit ribosomal RNA", at positions 441 to 793 of the family's 1533-position model. The record is from RNAcentral.